Molecule: transfer RNA, 67 nt
Filed under: Marmota monax (woodchuck)
Lineage: Eukaryota; Metazoa; Chordata; Mammalia; Rodentia; Sciuridae
Description: tRNA.Ala
Rfam family: tRNA
About the family: Transfer RNA (tRNA) molecules are approximately 80 nucleotides in length.
Source: RNAcentral
GGCUGUAGCUCAGUGGUGGAGCACUUGCCUGGCACGUGUGAAGUACUAGGUUCGAUCCUUAGCACCA